Molecule: ribosomal RNA, 440 nt
Filed under: uncultured bacterium
Lineage: Bacteria
Description: partial 16S ribosomal RNA
Rfam family: Bacterial small subunit ribosomal RNA
Source: RNAcentral
CCUACGGGAGGCAGCAGUGGGGAAUAUUGCACAAUGGGGGAAACCCUGAUGCUGCGACGCCGCGUGAGUGAAGAAGUAUCUCGGUAUGUAAAGCUCUAUCAGCAGGGAAGAGAAUGACGGUACCUGAGUAAGAAGCACCGGCUAACUACGUGCCAGAAGCAGCGGCAAUACGGAGGGGGCAAGCGUUAUCCGGAUUUACUGGGCGUAAAGGGAGCGUAGACGGCGAAGAAAGUCUGAAGUGAAAGCCCGCGGCUCAACCGCGGAACUGCUUUUGAAACUUGUUGGCUGGAGUUCCGGAGAGGUAAGCGGAAUUCCUAGUGUAGCGGUGAAAUGCGUAGAUAUUAGGAGGAACACCAGUGGCGAAGGCGGCUUACUGGACGGUAACUGACGUUGAGGCUCGAAAGCGUGGGGAGCGAACAGGAUUAGAUACCCCUGUAGUC